RNAcentral lists this transfer RNA (74 nucleotides) under Flavobacterium notoginsengisoli. RNAcentral describes it as "tRNA-Ala". It matches the Rfam family "tRNA". From Rfam's summary of the family: Transfer RNA (tRNA) molecules are approximately 80 nucleotides in length. Their secondary structure includes four short double-helical elements and three loops (D, anti-codon, and T loops). Further hydrogen bonds mediate the characteristic L-shaped molecular structure. tRNAs have two regions of fundamental functional importance: the anti-codon, which is responsible for specific mRNA codon recognition, and the 3' end, to which the tRNAs corresponding amino acid is attached (by aminoacyl-tRNA synthetases). tRNAs cope with the degeneracy of the genetic code in two manners: having more than one tRNA (with a specific anti-codon) for a particular amino acid; and 'wobble' base-pairing, i.e. permitting non-standard base-pairing at the 3rd anti-codon position. The record is from RNAcentral. Lineage: Bacteria; Pseudomonadati; Bacteroidota; Flavobacteriia; Flavobacteriales; Flavobacteriaceae. RNAcentral also lists the same sequence under 1 other name.
GGGGGAUUAGCUCAUUUGGCUAGAGCGCUACGCUGGCAGCGUCGAGGUGACCGGUUCGAAUCCGGUAUUCUCCA